GGUUCGAUUUUGUUCAGAUUGAACGCUGGCGGACAUGACACGUAAGUCGAACUAAGGCACGGACUUCGGUCUGGUGAAGUGGCGAACGGUGAGUACGUAUCGGAACGUGCCUAGUAGCGGGGAUAACUACGCGAAAGCGUAGCUUACUAACGCAGCACGCCCUUCGGGGGAAAGCGGGGACUUUCGUGGCCUCGCACUAUUAGAGCGGCCGAUAUCGAUUAGCCAGUUGGUGGGGUAACGGCUCACCAAGGCGACGAUCCGGGUAGCUGGCUUGAGAGGACGACCAGCCACACUGGGACUGGAGACAUCGGCCCAGACUCCUACGGGAGGCAGCAGGGAAUUUUGAUUAAUGGGGAAACCCUGAUCCAGCCAUCCUGGCGUGUGCGCGAUGGGGCUGCUUCGGCUGUAAAGCACUUUUGGCAGGAAAGAAACGGCACGGGAUAAUACCCCCAUGCAACUGACGGUACCUGCAGAAUAGUUGACCGGCUAACUACGCCAGCAGCCGCGGUAUUACGUAGGGUGUAAAGCGUUAAUCGGAAUUACUGGGCGUAAGCGUGCGCAAGGCGGUUCGAAAAAGAAAGAUGAAAUCCCAGAGCUUAACUUGAACCGCAUUUUUAACUACCGAGCUAGAGGUGUCAGAGGAGGUGAAUUCGCGUGUAGCAGUGAAAUGCGAGAUAUGCGGAGGAACAUCGAUGGCGAAGGCAGCCUCCCGGGAUAACACUGACGCUCAUGCAACGAAAGCGUGGGGAGCAACAGGAUUAUACCUUGGUAGUUCACGCUCUAAACGAUGUCAACUAGCUGUUGGGGCCUCGGGCCUCGGUAGCGCAGCUAACGCGUGAAGUUGACCGCCUGGGGAGUACGGUCGCAAGCAUUAAAACCUCAGCGAAUUGACGGGACUCCGCACAAGCGGUGAUGAUGUGGAUUAAUCUUGAUAACGCGAAAAACCUUACCUACCCUGACAUGUUCAACCUGAAGAGAUUUUAAGUGCCUGCAAGAGAACUGGAACACAGGUGCUGUAUGGCUGUCGUCAGCUCGUGUCGUGAGAUGUUGUCAAGUCCUGCAACGAGCGCAACCCUUGCCAGUUGCUACGAAAGGGCACUCUAAUGAGACGGCCGGUGACAAACCGAGGAAGGUGGGAUGACGUCAAGUCCUCAUGGCCCUUAUGCGGUAGGGCUUCACACGUCAUACAAUGGCCGGGACAGGUCGCCAACCUGCGAGGGGAGCCAAUCCCAGAAACCGAUCGUAGUCCGGAUCGCAGUCUGCAACUCGACUGCGUGAAGUCGGAAUCGCUAGUAAUCGCGGAUCAGCAUGUCGUGGUGGAAUACGUUCCCGGGGUCUUGUACACACUGCCCGUCACACCAUGGGAGUGGGUUUUACCAGAGUAGUUAGCCUAACCGUAAGGAGGGCGAUUACCACGGUAGGAUUCAUGACCGGGUGAAGUCGUGUAACAAGGUAA
RNAcentral lists this ribosomal RNA (1456 nucleotides) under uncultured Bordetella sp. Its description in RNAcentral is "partial 16S-23S ribosomal RNA intergenic spacer". It matches the Rfam family "Bacterial small subunit ribosomal RNA". The record is from RNAcentral. Lineage: Bacteria; Pseudomonadati; Pseudomonadota; Betaproteobacteria; Burkholderiales; Alcaligenaceae.